CAUACCUUUUGUCUCUACUGAUUUGAGCCCUUUAUUCUAUAUAAUUUUCAAGUAAAUCAGGCCUUGCCUACUGUAAGAGAUGGAUUUAUUUUCUAAAAACCUGAACCACAAUAUCCAAGCAUACUCGAAAUUAAAUAAAAAAAAAAAGUGAUUAAAAGGGGACUGAUGGUAUCAAGUCCAGUUUGAACGUGGGCAUUGAAAUUGACAAAUGCGUGUUGGGGUUGGCUUCUGUCGUUGUUUUCUAUUCUAAAUGUAAAUUGAGGAUAUAAAAUAAUGGUAGAUGAAGCAGAUCCCAAACAAACUAAUGAAACUAUCCCCAAUCACACACAUUUCCUGAUGAUAAAACCCAUGUAGCUGUUUCACAAGAGAGACCCUAAACCUACUUUGACUUCCUCGCCGAGAGCAACCAUUCACCCUUCUAACCAACGCCUUUGAAUUCUUUCUUUAAUUAUCAAGCAAUUCCAUCUCCUUUGUUGAGGAGAUCGCAGAAUCCCCAGGAGGGAAAAACUUUUGUUUUGGUUCUGUCCCUCAGCAAAUUCUGGCUUUUACUCCUACUUAUGAUUUCAAGCACACCCAACAUCUUAUCAGCCUUAAAAACCCUCAAGUUUCGAUAUCAGUGACUUCUCCGCUGAAAAUUGAACAAACCCAGAUAGCUUUUUGGGGUUUCAAGAACACCCGGUUAGCGAUAUCUGAUUUGGUGUUUUAGGGAGCAUCCAAGAGUGAGUUUUCUGAUUCGGGUUUGUGGAUAUGAAUUUCAGAAGCAUGGAAGAGUUCUGGCCUUUCUAUGUCAAUCAGCACUCAAAACCAGCCACAAGGCGUUGGCAUUUCGUGGGCACACUUACUGGCAUCUUCUUCUUGUUUUACUCGGCCUUCUUCAAUUGGUGGUGUGUGUUCCUCGUGCCCUUGUUUGGUUAUGGCUUCGCCUGGUACAGUCAUUUCUUUGUGGAAGGAAACGUCCCCGCGACAUUUGGGCAUCCAAUUUGGUCUCUUCUAUGUGAUUUCAAGAUGUUCGGUUUGAUGCUUACUGGCCAAAUGGAUAAAGAGAUCAAAAGACUUGGAAAGAGGCCCGUCUUGCAAGUGUUUUGAUUCUUAUAUGAUACCAUGCAGAUAUUUUCCCAGCUGUCGCCUUGGUGGGAAACUGAAUGACGGCAAACGAUAGGAUUUAAAGGAGACUACCCUUUUCAAAAAUAUAACACAGGCCAGUUGCGACAACAAUUGCAAAUAAAGAAGAAAAGGAUGUUAAACGUGGGCUUUCUUCAAACGAACAAGCUUCUGCAAUGAAAAGAAUGGGGCAGGACAAUAAUUUGGAUUUGUUUGCAUCUAGGAAGCAAAUUCAAACUGUUAUCAAGUAGACCAAAACUCUUGGAAACCACUGCCAGUUGAAAUUUUCGAUCAUGAAAUGAUUUUCAAUCAGACAAAUGAGUUUAAUCCAGCUCAA
Long non-coding RNA from Vitis vinifera (wine grape), 1438 nucleotides. RefSeq lists it as uncharacterized. The transcript is spliced from 2 exons. The record is from RefSeq and is a predicted model, not a curated record. NCBI's taxonomy places the organism in Eukaryota, Viridiplantae, Streptophyta, Magnoliopsida, Vitales, Vitaceae.